GGUUAAGCGACUAAGCGUACACGGUGGAUGCCCUGGCAGUCAGAGGCGAUGAAGGACGUGCUAAUCUGCGAAAAGCGUCGGUAAGGUGAUAUGAACCGUUAUAGCCGGCGAUGUCCGAAUGGGGAAACCCAGUGCAAUUCGUUGCACUAUCGUUAACUGAAUACAUAGGUUAACGAGGCGAACCGGGGGAACUGAAACAUCUAAGUACCCCGAGGAAAAGAAAUCAACCGAGAUUCCCCCAGUAGCGGCGAGCGAACGGGGAGCAGCCCAGAGUCUGAAUCAGCUUGUGUGUUAGUGGAACGGUCUGGAAAGUCCGACGGUACAGGGUGAUAGUCCCGUACACCAAAAUGCACAGGCUGUGAACUCGAAGAGUAGGGCGGGACACGUGGUAUCCUGUCUGAAUAUGGGGGGACCAUCCUCCAAGGCUAAAUACUCCUGACUGACCGAUAGUGAACCAGUACCGUGAGGGAAAGGCGAAAAGAACCCCGGCGAGGGGAGUGAAAAAGAACCUGAAACCGUGUACGUACAAGCAGUGGGAGCACCUUCGGGUGUGACUGCGUACCUUUUGUAUAAUGGGUCAGCGACUUAUAUUCUGUAGCAAGGUUAACCGUAUAGGGGAGCCGCAGGGAAACCGAGUCUUAACUGGGCGUUAAGUUGCAGGGUAUAGACCCGAAACCCGGUGAUCUAGCCAUGGGCAGGUUGAAGGUUGGGUAACACUAACUGGAGGACCGAACCGACUAAUGUUGAAAAAUUAGCGGAUGACUUGUGGCUGGGGGUGAAAGGCCAAUCAAACCGGGAGAUAGCUGGUUCUCCCCGAAAGCUAUUUAGGUAGCGCCUCGUGAACUCAUCUUCGGGGGUAGAGCACUGUUUCGGCUAGGGGGUCAUCCCGACUUACCAACCCGAUGCAAACUACGAAUACCGAAGAAUGUUAUCACGGGAGACACACGGCGGGUGCUAACGUCCGUCGUGAAGAGGGAAACAACCCAGACCGCCAGCUAAGGUCCCAAAGUCAUGGUUAAGUGGGAAACGAUGUGGGAAGGCACAGACAGCCAGGAUGUUGGCUUAGAAGCAGCCAUCAUUUAAAGAAAGCGUAAUAGCUCACUGGUCGAGUCGGCCUGCGCGGAAGAUGUAACGGGGCUAAACCAUGCACCGAAGCUGCGGCAGCGACACUAUGUGUUGUUGGGUAGGGGAGCGUUCUGUAAGCCUGUGAAGGUGACCUGUGAGGGUUGCUGGAGGUAUCAGAAGUGCGAAUGCUGACAUAAGUAACGAUAAAGCGGGUGAAAAGCCCGCUCGCCGGAAGACCAAGGGUUCCUGUCCAACGUUAAUCGGGGCAGGGUGAGUCGACCCCUAAGGCGAGGCCGAAAGGCGUAGUCGAUGGGAAACAGGUUAAUAUUCCUGUACUUGGUGUUACUGCGAAGGGGGGACGGAGAAGGCUAUGUUAGCCGGGCGACGGUUGUCCCGGUUUAAGCAUGUAGGCUGAUUGUCCAGGCAAAUCCGGAUAAUCAAGGCUGAGGUGUGAUGACGAGGCACUACGGUGCUGAAGUAACAAAUGCCCUGCUUCCAGGAAAAGCCUCUAAGCAUCAGGUAACAUCAAAUCGUACCCCAAACCGACACAGGUGGUCAGGUAGAGAAUACCAAGGCGCUUGAGAGAACUCGGGUGAAGGAACUAGGCAAAAUGGUGCCGUAACUUCGGGAGAAGGCACGCUGGUGUGUAGGUGAAGCCCCUGCGGGUGGAGCUGAGACCAGUCGAAGAUACCAGCUGGCUGCAACUGUUUAUUAAAAACACAGCACUGUGCAAACACGAAAGUGGACGUAUACGGUGUGACGCCUGCCCGGUGCCGGAAGGUUAAUUGAUGGGGUUAUCCGUAAGGAGAAGCUCUUGAUCGAAGCCCCGGUAAACGGCGGCCGUAACUAUAACGGUCCUAAGGUAGCGAAAUUCCUUGUCGGGUAAGUUCCGACCUGCACGAAUGGCGUAAUGAUGGCCAGGCUGUCUCCACCCGAGACUCAGUGAAAUUGAACUCGCUGUGAAGAUGCAGUGUACCCGCGGCAAGACGGAAAGACCCCGUGAACCUUUACUAUAGCUUGACACUGAACAUUGAGCCUUGAUGUGUAGGAUAGGUGGGAGGCUUUGAAGCGUGGACGCCAGUCUGCGUGGAGCCAACCUUGAAAUACCACCCUUUAAUGUUUGAUGUUCUAACGUUGGCCCCUUACCGGGGUUGCGGACAGUGUCUGGUGGGUAGUUUGACUGGGGCGGUCUCCUCCCAAAGCGUAACGGAGGAGCACGAAGGUUAGCUAAUCCUGGUCGGACAUCAGGAGGUUAGUGCAAUGGCAUAAGCUAGCUUGACUGCGAGCGUGACGGCGCGAGCAGGUGCGAAAGCAGGUCAUAGUGAUCCGGUGGUUCUGAAUGGAAGGGCCAUCGCUCAACGGAUAAAAGGUACUCCGGGGAUAACAGGCUGAUACCGCCCAAGAGUUCAUAUCGACGGCGGUGUUUGGCACCUCGAUGUCGGCUCAUCACAUCCUGGGGCUGAAGUAGGUCCCAAGGGUAUGGCUGUUCGCCAUUUAAAGUGGUACGCGAGCUGGGUUUAGAACGUCGUGAGACAGUUCGGUCCCUAUCUGCCGUGGGCGCUGGAGAAUUGAGGGGGGCUGCUCCUAGUACGAGAGGACCGGAGUGGACGCAUCACUGGUGUUCGGGUUGUCAUGCCAAUGGCACUGCCCGGUAGCUAAAUGCGGAAGAGAUAAGUGCUGAAAGCAUCUAAGCACGAAACUUGCCCCGAGAUGAGUUCUCCCUGAGACUUUAAGUCUCCUGAAGGAACGUUGAAGACGACGACGUUGAUAGGCCGGGUGUGUAAGCGCAGCGAUGCGUUGAGCUAACCGGUACUAAUGAACCGUGAGGCUUAACCUU
Molecule: ribosomal RNA, 2902 nt
Filed under: Klebsiella pneumoniae
Lineage: Bacteria; Pseudomonadati; Pseudomonadota; Gammaproteobacteria; Enterobacterales; Enterobacteriaceae
Description: 23S ribosomal RNA
Rfam family: Bacterial large subunit ribosomal RNA
Source: RNAcentral